GAAUCCGAAGAAGAAAUCUCUGGAUGCUUUGAUAAAAAGACUCAAGGAUGUCAGCUGAUUCAGUCAAGAGCUGUACGAAUGAUCCUUCUUCUUUCUCUUAAUUAUUGCAGUGAAAUCUUUCAUUACUUCUGUUAUUCAUUGCUAUCUUUGUUUGCUUCCAUUUUUUUUUUUAAACACAAAAAUAUAAACUUUCAUAUAUAUUGCCACAAUCAGAAGAGAAAAAAAA
Molecule: unclassified non-coding RNA, 226 nt
Filed under: Hevea brasiliensis (rubber tree)
Lineage: Eukaryota; Viridiplantae; Streptophyta; Magnoliopsida; Malpighiales; Euphorbiaceae
Source: RNAcentral